UAUAAUAUACUAGGCUUUGUAUCAAUUCACAUUUUCCUCUGCACUAGGACAAGUAUCAACGUGAAGCUUUAGUUUUCGAAUUAUAUUUUUUCUUUAUUCGUUUUAAAAAUGAAAAAAUUAUCUCAAACCAAGAACAAAGAUCAAUUCGUCGCAAAUGUAUAUAAAAAACCUACGAAUCUCCUACCACCAUUACCGCCUCCUAACACAUCGUCUCCGCAGCCUACGGGACCAAAUAAAGUGCCCCAAACUGGUGACUCUAAUGUGAGAUAUGCGUAGAAGUGAGAUAUGAAGCCUGAAGCACGGUGAUGAACCCUUCUGUAAUCAUAUAACUGUAUAUGCUGGAAAUAAAUGCAUGAUUUAAAA
Melitaea cinxia (Glanville fritillary) is the source of this 363-nucleotide long non-coding RNA. RefSeq lists it as uncharacterized. The record is from RefSeq and is a predicted model, not a curated record. The transcript is spliced from 2 exons. NCBI's taxonomy places the organism in Eukaryota, Metazoa, Arthropoda, Insecta, Lepidoptera, Nymphalidae.